Long non-coding RNA from Oncorhynchus masou masou (cherry salmon), 221 nucleotides. RefSeq lists it as uncharacterized. NCBI's taxonomy places the organism in Eukaryota, Metazoa, Chordata, Actinopteri, Salmoniformes, Salmonidae. The record is from RefSeq and is a predicted model, not a curated record. The transcript is spliced from 3 exons.
CCCCCCACUCAACUACAUCCACGACCUCAACAGGACGGAGCUGCUGAGGUUGCUGCUAACCUGUUUCUCUGAGGCCAUGUACCUCCCUCCCUCCUCAGACAACACCAUCCUCAACCCCUGGGUCAGCUUCUUCUGCUCCACAGAAAACAGGCAUGCCCUGCCUCUCUUCACCUCCCUGGUAAACGUGGUGUGUGCCUAUGACCCGGUGGGCUAUGGCAUCC